ACCCCCACCAGCAGCAGCAGCGCCCGCUUUGCCCCGGCUCCGGAGCGCUGUUUACCUAAUCUCAGCGGCUGACCGAGCCCAGCAGAAUGCGAAAGGGAGGCAGCGGUGGUACAGCAGCGUCCCCGGCGAAGAAGUAAAAGACGUUUGCUUUGGAGCUUCGGGAUAAGUUAACUGCGAAGCUGGGGUCCUGCUGUCUUAUCUCUGCGGGGAUGAGCCUCACCGUGCACGUUGGCAGGCAUAGCAGAUUCUAUCUGUUUCUGAUGCCAUUACCGUGUCGGAGAAGAACAUUAUAUGAAAAAAUAUUAUCUAAUAUCCUAGAGACCAUUAAAGUGUCAAAGUUUAAUGCCAA
RNAcentral lists this non-coding RNA (349 nucleotides) under Pan troglodytes (chimpanzee). The record is from RNAcentral. Lineage: Eukaryota; Metazoa; Chordata; Mammalia; Primates; Hominidae.